Molecule: non-coding RNA, 31 nt
Filed under: Rattus norvegicus (Norway rat)
Lineage: Eukaryota; Metazoa; Chordata; Mammalia; Rodentia; Muridae
Source: RNAcentral
UGACCUCUGAAAUGGAGAAGCCUAGAGGAAU